GCAGCGGAAAGUAGCUUGCUAAUUUGCCGGCGAGCGGCGGACGGGUGAGUAAUGUCUGGGAAACUGCCUGAUGGAGGGGGAUAACUACUGGAAACGGUAGCUAAUACCGCAUAAYGUCGCAAGACCAAAGAGGGGGACCUUCGGGCCUCUUGCCAUCAGAUGUGCCCAGAUGGGAUUAGCUAGUAGGUGGGGUAACGGCUCACCUAGGCGACGAUCCCUAGCUGGUCUGAGAGGAUGACCAGCCACACUGGAACUGAGACACGGUCCAGACUCCUACGGGAGGCAGCAGUGGGGAAUAUUGCACAAUGGGCGCAAGCCUGAUGCAGCCAUGCCGCGUGUAUGAAGAAGGCCUUCGGGUUGUAAAGUACUUUCAGCGGGGAGGAAGGYGWURWGGUUAAUAACCWYRUCRAUUGACGUUACCCGCAGAAGAAGCACCGGCUAACUCCGUGCCAGCAGCCGCGGUAAUACGGAGGGUGCAAGCGUUAAUCGGAAUUACUGGGCGUAAAGCGCACGCAGGCGGUCUGUCAAGUCGGAUGUGAAAUCCCCGGGCUCAACCUGGGAACUGCAUUCGAAACUGGCAGGCUAGAGUCUUGUAGAGGGGGGUAGAAUUCCAGGUGUAGCGGUGAAAUGCGUAGAGAUCUGGAGGAAU
Molecule: ribosomal RNA, 649 nt
Filed under: Enterobacter cloacae
Lineage: Bacteria; Pseudomonadati; Pseudomonadota; Gammaproteobacteria; Enterobacterales; Enterobacteriaceae
Description: bacterial SSU rRNA
Source: RNAcentral